Molecule: non-coding RNA, 63 nt
Organism: Ictalurus punctatus (channel catfish)
Lineage: Eukaryota; Metazoa; Chordata; Actinopteri; Siluriformes; Ictaluridae
Source: Rfam
GGCUGCAACACAGGACAUGGGAGCUGUCUCUCACUCCCGCUCGUGUCUUGUGUUGCAGCCAGU